RNAcentral lists this transfer RNA (67 nucleotides) under Megathrips lativentris. RNAcentral's name for it is "tRNA-Trp". The record is from RNAcentral. Lineage: Eukaryota; Metazoa; Arthropoda; Insecta; Thysanoptera; Phlaeothripidae.
AAAAUAUUAAGUUAUAAUAAACUUUUAACUUUCAAAGUUAAAUUAAGAAUUUUAGUUCUAUAUUUUA